UCUGGAAACCAUAGAGCUGUGGUACCACCUGAUCCCAUUCCGAACUCAGAAGUGAAACACAGUAUCGCCGAUGGUAGUGUGGGGUCUCCCCAUGUGCGAGUAGGUCAUUUCCAGGC
RNAcentral lists this ribosomal RNA (116 nucleotides) under Rheinheimera baltica. Lineage: Bacteria; Pseudomonadati; Pseudomonadota; Gammaproteobacteria; Chromatiales; Chromatiaceae. The record is from RNAcentral.